CCUACGGGAGGCAGCAGUAAGGAAUAUUGGUCAAUGGGCGCAAGCCUGAACCAGCCAUGCCGCGUGCAGGAUGACGGCCCUCUGGGUUGUAAACUGCUUUUAUACGGGAAGAACAGCAUCUACGUGUAGGUGUUUGACGGUACUGUAAGAAUAAGGACCGGCUAACUUCGUGCCAGCAGCCGCGGUAAUACGAAGGGUCCAAGCGUUAUCCGGAUUUAUUGGGUUUAAAGGGUGCGUAGGCGGCUUUUUAAGUCAGUGGUGAAAGCCUGAUGCUCAACAUCAGAACUGCCAUUGAUACUGAAGAGCUUGAGUACAGUUGAGGUUGGCGGAAUGUGUCAUGUAGCGGUGAAAUGCUUAGAUAUGACACAGAACACCGAUUGCGAAGGCAGCUAGCUAAGCUGUUACUGACGCUGAUGCACGAAAGCGUGGGGAGCAAACAGGAUUAGAUACCCUGGUAGUCCACGCCCUAAACGUUGAUAACUCGUUGUUAGCGAUAUACUGUUAGCGACCAAGCGAAAGCAUUAAGUUAUCCACCUGGGAAGUACGGUCGCAAGAUUGAAACUCAAAUUGAAUUGACGG
This 579-nucleotide ribosomal RNA is filed under the name uncultured bacterium. Its description in RNAcentral is "bacterial SSU rRNA". It matches the Rfam family "Bacterial small subunit ribosomal RNA", at positions 338 to 916 of the family's 1533-position model. The record is from RNAcentral.